RNAcentral lists this long non-coding RNA (462 nucleotides) under Nicotiana tabacum (common tobacco). RNAcentral's name for it is "long non-coding RNA (NTAB_LNC015225)". The record is from RNAcentral. Lineage: Eukaryota; Viridiplantae; Streptophyta; Magnoliopsida; Solanales; Solanaceae.
CUGAACCCGGCUAAAUGCAAAAUUGUUUGGACGGUUCUACCUGCUUCCAUCCCUAUUUAGUAGGAGCGGGCCACAUAUAUACAUGCAUUGAGGUACAAGUAAGCAAAGGUUCAAGACCAAAGAGUCAAACAAUGAAAAAUAGAGAAACUUUACCCUUUAUGAACAGAAAACUAAGACUCCUCUUUUUUUAAGUAGGCAUAAAGAGAAAGUCACGAUGCAUUUGCUAUGCGUAUGAGAAAACAAAAGCUUAACAAAAGAAUGACUAAAAUUCACACUCCAACCUUGGUCUUUUUGUAGGUUGUUUGAGCAAAAUUGUAUGCUCCUGAUGCCGCUCGACAUAAUGUAGGUUCUGAAAGCAUUUCUCAUAUGUCUGCACAAUUCAUUUUAAAAACAAAAGUCUUGUUUUAGCAGAGUUGCUGAAAGACCAAUCAUCCAGUCCAAGGCAUUGAUCAAAAUGAAAAC